Molecule: ribosomal RNA, 429 nt
Filed under: uncultured archaeon
Lineage: Archaea
Description: bacterial SSU rRNA
Rfam family: Archaeal small subunit ribosomal RNA
Source: RNAcentral
UACCAGCUCUCCGAGUGGUAGGGAUGAUUAUUGGGCUUAAAGUGUCCGUAGCCGGAUUGGAAAGUUCCUGGUAAAAUCGGGUAGCUUAACUAUCCGCGUGCUAGGAAUACUACUAUUCUAGAGGGCGGGAAAGGUCUGAGGUACUACAGGGGUAGGGGUGAAAUCUUAUAAUCCUUGUGGGACCACCAGUGGCGAAGGCGUCAGACUGGAACGCGCCUGACGGUGAGGGACGAAAGCCAGGGGAGCGAACCGGAUUAGAUACCCGGGUAGUCCUGGCCGUAAACGAUGCAUACUAGGUGAUGGUAUGGCCAUGAGCCAUAUCAGUGCCGUAGGGAAACCGUUAAGUGUGCCGCCUGGGAAGUACGGUCGCAAGGCUAAAACUUAAAGGAAUUGGCGGGGGAGCACCACAAGGGGUGAAGCCUGCGGUUC